Molecule: long non-coding RNA, 2708 nt
Organism: Papaver somniferum (opium poppy)
Lineage: Eukaryota; Viridiplantae; Streptophyta; Magnoliopsida; Ranunculales; Papaveraceae
Exons: 2
Source: RefSeq, a predicted model, not a curated record
AAAUCGAGGUAGAGGUCACGGGAUUGAACCCGUCCACCUUCCAAAUUUUAGUUUUUUCUUUUUUUCCUUCUUCUUCAUUCUUUUUUCGAUUUGGGUUCAGAAAACCAGAAAAUCCCCAUCUUUUUUCAUCUCAGAAAAUUCAGUCCACCACCAUUACCUCCAUCACCAUCAGCACCGGUACCAGAUUGUCCACCAUCGUUUCCACCAUACAGAUUAACAGACACCAAUUCCAACGCAACUCAAUUUAAUCGACCUAAUUUCUAUUUCAAAUUACCUUUCAACAACUAUGUUUAAGAGAUUGGGUUUCAGAUCUGUGAUUAGGGGUUUUCCGGUAAGCAUCAACGACAUCAGUUCAUGAAGUAGUGAGGUCGAUUCUACAUCAACUACAGUAGCAACAACAGUGGAUUUAAAGUGUUUGUGGUGGUUCUUGCUCUUAAUAACAUAAAGUGUGAGAGCAUGUGAGUUGUGAGUGUGUUGUGUGCACGUGUGCGAGUCUAUUGAGAGUUUCAGAGAUUGAGUAAAGUGUCGAGUCUAUAUAAGACUGAGUUCUAUCUGUAACAAAGUAUCUUUCUUCUAUCAAUGAAAUUGAUUAAACCGUAAGCAAUUUAGACAUGAGGAUUCUCAAUGUUACUAUGGUAUCAGACUCAGAAAUCCAUUUCUGAGGGUACCGAUCCUAGCAUGUUUCUUCAUCAAAACUACCAUUACUUCCAUCUUCAACAAUCAUCACCCCCAUUAAUCCAUCAUCUUCUGCUGCUGCUACUGUAAACCGAAAUUCGAAGCUUUAUUUGAUUGAAUCAUCUCAGAUUUGCGACUAAUUUGACGGGUCUAUGUGUUUCUAUCUACAUCAACAGCAUUAGUAGAUCUGCUGUUCUUGAUUCCUGAUGCCGAGAUAGUCUGAGCGCGUUCUAGUCCGAUACACCAAGGUCUAGUUAGGGCGAAAACUUAAAGUCGUUCCACCGAUUGGAUUCAGCAGAAGAUUGAGAAGUUGUUGGUCUCAUAUCUUACUUCAAGGCAGUCCUCACAUAUGUGUUGAAGAUUCUUGCGUUUUAUUAAUGGUGUUUCUGCAAUUGAACAUCGAAUUGGAGUUGCUGAGUUACAUUAAGUACAGAUUGAAGUUCUUUUUGUUGAGCUUGUACGCAUUCAGUAUGCAACCUGGCUUUGAACUUGCAUAUGUCUUCAAUGUGCAACCUGUAGUUGUUCUACUUUUCAUGCUCUUUGAAUAAAACAGUUGAAGUUCAUCUUCAAUGGUGCUUUUUACUUUUAUUUCCUAUGUGAGUGAAUAAUCCAAAGUGCUAUGGCCUUCUGGAGAAUAAUCAAAGGAUAAUAAUAUAGUUGAAAACUUUGCUUCUUUCACGGUCCACUGCUGCAAAAACUGCCCAAGGGGAAUACAAGUAUGGCUUUGUGUAUUUGCUUUAUGAUGCUCAUGGUGCUGUGUUGCGCUUGUCAUGAAACUGUGGUUUGGCUUUAUCUCUUUCAGAAAAUACCUACUGCUUCCCAAAUAUGCUGGUACAUUUUUUCAUUGCUAUUGCAUGAUCUGUCUAAUGCAUCAUCAACUGUACCAGUUACACCAACUCUUCCAGCUGCUCCUUGUAUACAAGUGCUGAGUUUGAUUGCUUAUUGGUGUUUUCAUUGAUUUCGAGCAUAGUUGUCAUUAUUUUUCAGUUGGUUAUGAAGAAACCAACCAUAUCUUCUGCUUGGUCAUAUCUUCGGCAUGGUGCAACUUUGGAAGUACAUUCUUGCUAGCGUAUUUGUUCAUCUCUGCGACAAGGAUUCUAUUCUUGAAAAUCUGCAAAUAACUGGAAUGAUCCGAUAUUGCUGUUAGUACUUGCUGGUGAAUGAUUGAAGGAAGAACGGUAUUCCUUUAAAAUUGAGUUUGGCAGGGUGAAGAGACCUCAGUUGUGUAUCCACAUUACUGGCACAAUGCAACCAGUGUGCAGGUUGUCUUAUGGUUUUAUUGCUUAUUUUGGUACUACUGACUCGGUGAGUGUGUGCAGUUCUUGUGAUACGAAUGAGGCAAGUGCAGCUCUAUAAAUUGCUUAUGGUUUACAAUGUAAGGAGCACAGUUGCAACUUCUCAGCUGCUAAAGCUAUCUUUUGUCAUAUUUCCUGCUAGAAGUUGCUGCCAUGUACAACUUCAUCUUGUAGAGCUCCUGGUUCUUGGGAAUGUUGAUUUAUCACUGUCACUGUUCCUGCAUCAACGACUCCAGCAGCUACUGCCAAUAUAGAUAACAAACUUCUAUUCCCUGCGAAAGUUUUCUACUGCAACUACUACUGCCACAACUGAGUGUGAUACUGUUUUUCAAGAUAUGCAACAACUCUGUCCUACUGUGCAAGGUCAUUUCUCAGACUCCCCCCCUUUAUGCUUUCACUGCACCAUUGGAAACUGUUGUUGUUACUUCCAUCACUGCAUCAACUAUUGAACAAGCUGCUGUUGUGCUUCUCCUUUGUCAUUUGGUCUUCAUACUUCUAGUGCAGAUAGAGGGUAUAUGCUGGUUUGUGUGAGAGCAUGUGAGUUGUAAGUGCAAUCUCAAGUUGGCUUAACAUUCCACUUGAGAGCAUGUGAGUUGUGAGUGUGUUGUGUGAACGUGUGCGAGUCUAUUGAGAGUUUCAGAGAUUGAGUAAAGUGUCAAGUCUAUAUAAGACUGAGUUCUAUCUGUAACAAAGUAUCUUUCUUCUGUCAAUCAAAUUGAUUAAACCGUAAGCAAUGUA